CAAACGGCCCUUUUAAGGGCCACCACUUGCCCAUAAAAGAGCUGU
RNAcentral lists this non-coding RNA (45 nucleotides) under Podarcis lilfordi (Lilford's wall lizard). It matches the Rfam family "Histone 3' UTR stem-loop". From Rfam's summary of the family: The mRNAs of metazoan histone genes lack a poly-A tail. 3' end processing occurs at a site between a highly conserved stem-loop (modelled by this family) and a purine rich region around 20 nts downstream (the histone downstream element, or HDE). The record is from RNAcentral. Lineage: Eukaryota; Metazoa; Chordata; Lepidosauria; Squamata; Lacertidae.